GAUGAACGCUGGCGGCGUGCCUAAUACAUGCAAGUCGAGCGAACAGAUAAGGAGCUUGCUCCUUUGACGUUAGCGGCGGACGGGUGAGUAACACGUGGGUAACCUACCUAUAAGACUGGGAUAACUUCGGGAAACCGGAGCUAAUACCGGAUAAUAUUUCGAACCGCAUGGUUCGAUAGUGAAAGAUGGUUUUGCUAUCACUUAUAGAUGGACCCGCGCCGUAUUAGCUAGUUGGUAAGGUAACGGCUUACCAGGGCGACGAUACGUAGCCGACCUGAGAGGGUGAUCGGCCACACUGGAACUGAGACACGGUCCAGACUCCUACGGGAGGCAGCAGUAGGGAAUCUUCCGCAAUGGGCGAAAGCCUGACGGAGCAACGCCGCGUGAGUGAUGAAGGUCUUCGGAUCGUAAAACUCUGUUAUUAGGGAAGAACAUACGUGUAGGUAACUGUGCACGUCUUGACGGUACCUAAUCAGAAAGCCACGGCUAACUACGUG
Molecule: ribosomal RNA, 497 nt
Filed under: uncultured bacterium
Lineage: Bacteria
Description: partial 16S ribosomal RNA
Rfam family: Bacterial small subunit ribosomal RNA
Source: RNAcentral